ACGCGAAACGACUUACCCACACAUACACGUUUAUAGUGCAGUGUGCCACUUGGGCAUUAAUUCAGCUGUGUGUAUUUUGGAUGUACCCAACCUGUCUGUGACAAAUCCACUCGCUUCGAAUUUGAUUUUUAGAGGGAAAGCAAGAGGGAAGGGGUGCGAUUUCGAACUAUAUCGUUUGAAGCUAAAACAUAAAACCACCGCAACGUGAUUCGUUCGUGAAUAUUAACCGUGAGUGAGUGAAAUCAAUAGCAUCCGAAACGUUUCAGAUAUGCAUGAAAUAAACGGUUUUUUUUUCAAGACUGAUGUUUAUGAUAAAUUGAUAGCAACAAAUCAUUCUUGUGCGAUCUUUAUAAAAGUGCGAAAACAUCUCGGAGCGGAGAGUUAGCAGCGCGAGUUAACUGUCGGAAGCUUCAAUUGAGAUCGGUGAUUGCGAAUGGUGAUUACGGCGCGGGUCCGUAUCGCAUGCGGGUACGCGCUUGAGGUGUCCGCCGGGAGGGGCGCAGGCGCGUUGGUGCGGGGGCGCGCACGUCGCCAAGCUGGUCGGAGGCGGGGUGUUCCGUUGCUG
This is a long non-coding RNA of Bombyx mandarina (wild silkworm), 565 nucleotides long. Lineage: Eukaryota; Metazoa; Arthropoda; Insecta; Lepidoptera; Bombycidae. The record is from RefSeq and is a predicted model, not a curated record.